UGAGUAACCUGCCCUUAACUCUGGGAUCAGCCUGGGAAACUGGGUCUAAUACCGGAUAUGACUCCUCAUCGCAUGGUGGGGGGUGGAAAGCUUUAUUGUGGUUUUGGAUGGACUCGCGGCCUAUCAGCUUGUUGGUGAGGUAAUGGCUCACCAAGGCGACGACGGGUAGCCGGCCUGAGAGGGUGACCGGCCACACUGGGACUGAGACACGGCCCAGACUCCUACGGGAGCAG
Molecule: ribosomal RNA, 233 nt
Filed under: uncultured bacterium
Lineage: Bacteria
Description: partial 16S ribosomal RNA
Rfam family: Bacterial small subunit ribosomal RNA
Source: RNAcentral